AUGCCAUGAUGGGGGCACGCAGUGAUCUACUCUUGGAUGCGUUGCCAUGCCUUCGAGAUGGACUCGUCAUUGUGGUGCUAGAAACUUGAUAUCUUGUUCUGGAGGGC
Molecule: small nucleolar RNA, 107 nt
Filed under: Dichanthelium oligosanthes
Lineage: Eukaryota; Viridiplantae; Streptophyta; Magnoliopsida; Poales; Poaceae
Description: Plant small nucleolar RNA R71
Rfam family: Plant small nucleolar RNA R71
About the family: R71 is a member of the C/D box family of snoRNAs containing the C (UGAUGA) and D (CUGA) box motifs. Multiple nearly identical copies of this snoRNA have been identified in Arabidopsis, and it is thought to function as a 2'-O-ribose methylation guide for 18S ribosomal RNA.
Source: Rfam by way of RNAcentral